Fukomys damarensis (Damara mole-rat) is the source of this 504-nucleotide long non-coding RNA. RefSeq lists it as uncharacterized. NCBI's taxonomy places the organism in Eukaryota, Metazoa, Chordata, Mammalia, Rodentia, Bathyergidae. The transcript has 4 exons. The record is from RefSeq and is a predicted model, not a curated record.
AUAGAUUUGAACUAUUUGGCACAAAAGACUUUCAUGUUGGGCAGGCUGACCAGUACCUGGGACACAAAGAAGGAUGUGAGUCAUCCCUGCCCAAUGUAUCCAUGCUGUAUACAUCGCCUGCCCAUGAAUUGCUUAGAAGACAUCUUGGACAUCAGAUUCGCCAUCACACUUGCGUUCCAGUUACUUUCACUUUACUAAUAAAGGCCCCACUCCACAAGAGCAAUGAGGCUUCACGCUAUGCCACAGAGAAGCUGAAGUGCUUCCUUUUACUGAAAAGGAGAUUGUAGGUGAAGAAGGGAUGGAAAGCAGCCACAUGGAAGAUGACCAGGUCAUGCUGUACAGUUGCUCUAGCAGGAGCCAUUGCUCUGUUACAAAGACAUCACAGAAACCAUAGGAAGAGUGUGGCUUAGCUAAGCCUUUCCUUCAACCACCAUAUGAAGACACCAUGUUGGAAACAGAUCCUCCAGCCCCAGUCAAAAUCUUCACCACAGCCUCAUGACAGAA